UUGUUAAAAAAGAUAAUAAAAAAACUUUUAUUUUAUAGGUUGCUAGCUUAGAACAGCGAUUAAAAAAUUUGGAAAGUGUGAUUGGUCAAGAUAAGAUAAAAUGGUCUUCCCUUACUUCAAAUACUGAUGGUAAAAGUAUUACUGUAAGUGUUUUUAAAAUUUAUGAAAAUUUUAUUCAUUACUUACUUAAUUUAAAAUACUUAAAUAGUUUUGUUUUAAAAACAAAUUUUGAUUUUUGUAUUUGCUAAUUACUUAAAGUCAAUUAGUUUCAUAGCAAGAUUGCCACGGUUGACUAAAAUGCAACUAUUUUCAACCUGAGGCAACUUUUUUUUACCUGAAAAGGUUAAUACUUUUUUCGGUGCUCCUAAUGAUGUUAAGGGGAAUUAAAUAUCGACUAUGUCAAACUUCAUCUAUCAAAAAGUACCUCGUGAUGGAUUCAAGUUAACAUGUCUUAUAUACUAGUGAUUUGGUGUUUAAUAUUUGUAGUGGUAGUUACGUUACAAUGUUUUUUUUUUGUUUUGUUUUUUUAAGCAUAAAUUGGGUUGAUAACCCUAAACACAAUGACUUUUUUUCUUAAAAAAAAAAUGUUGCAAAUUUGAGGUAUCACUUUUCAAUGCGUUCAAUUUGAACAGAUUCCAUUGUAAGUCUAUUUUUUAUCUCGAUUGCCUUUUUGAUGGUUAUUGCUACGAAAUUCGGCAGAUUUUAAAAAACCCAAAUUUUAAUACGAUUGUAGGAUGUGUGAUUUUCGAGUUUGAAUAAUCACUUUUCACAUGUGUAUAUAUAUUUGCUAAAUCAAUUAUU
Molecule: non-coding RNA, 801 nt
Organism: Parasteatoda tepidariorum (common house spider)
Lineage: Eukaryota; Metazoa; Arthropoda; Arachnida; Araneae; Theridiidae
Source: RefSeq, a predicted model, not a curated record